RNAcentral lists this ribosomal RNA (453 nucleotides) under uncultured Fastidiosipila sp. RNAcentral's name for it is "bacterial SSU rRNA". It matches the Rfam family "Bacterial small subunit ribosomal RNA", at positions 930 to 1382 of the family's 1533-position model. Lineage: Bacteria; Bacillati; Bacillota; Clostridia; Eubacteriales; Oscillospiraceae. The record is from RNAcentral.
CGGUGGAGCACGUGGUUUAAUUCGACGCAACGCGAAGAACCUUACCAGGGCUUGACAUCCUCUGACGACAGCAGAGAUGCUGUUUUCCCUUCGGGGACAGAGAGACAGGUGGUGCAUGGUUUGUCGUCAGCUCGUGUCGUGAGAUGUUGGGUUAAGUCCCGCAACGAGCGCAACCCCUAUGGUCAGUUGCCAGCACGUGAAGGUGGGCACUCUGGCGAGACUGCCGUUGACAAAACGGAGGAAGGUGGGGACGACGUCAAAUCAUCAUGCCCCUUAUGUCCUGGGCUACACACGUACUACAAUGGCAACAACAGAGGGCAGCCAUGCCGCGAGGCAGAGCGAAUCCCAAAAUGUUGUCUCAGUUCAGAUUGCAGGCUGCAACUCGCCUGCAUGAAGUCGGAAUUGCUAGUAAUGGCAGGUCAGCAUACUGCCGUGAAUACGUUCCCGGGCCUU